This 245-nucleotide ribosomal RNA is filed under the name uncultured bacterium. Its description in RNAcentral is "partial 16S ribosomal RNA". It matches the Rfam family "Bacterial small subunit ribosomal RNA", at positions 524 to 768 of the family's 1533-position model. The record is from RNAcentral.
UACAGAGGUAGCUAGCGUUGUUCGGAAUGACUGGGUGUAAAGGGCGUGUAGGCUGUUUUGUAAGUUGAACGUGAAAUCCCUUGGCUUAACCAAGGAACGGCGUUCAAAACUGCAUAACUUGAGUGCGGAAGAGGAAAGUGGAAUUUCGGGUGUAGCGGUGAAAUGCGUAGAUAUCCGAAGGAACACCGGUGGCGAAGGCGACUUUCUGGUCCGCAACUGACGCUGAUACGCGAAAGCUAGGGGAG